Non-coding RNA from Bactrocera oleae (olive fruit fly), 1941 nucleotides. The record is from RefSeq and is a predicted model, not a curated record. NCBI's taxonomy places the organism in Eukaryota, Metazoa, Arthropoda, Insecta, Diptera, Tephritidae.
AAAGACAGCCACAUUUAUAAUUCAUUUGGAGCUUUAUUCUGUCAGCUAUUAUUUACUUCAGAAAAUUGAAAAUAAUGUUUCUUGGCUUGAUUGGCAAACUAUGGUCCAAUUUAAACUCUUUCAUAAUGUAGUCAUUCAGCUGGCGUAUUAUACAAUCGAGGGUGUAAACAGGGAACAAUAUCAAAAAAAUUCCGGCUAAACCAAGAGUCCACUCAUAUUGAAGAAUCAACAGACGCAAUCGGUGGGUGAGUUUGUAAAGUAAUCCAAGAGCAUUCAAUGGAAAUUCAGUGCCUUAGUGUACGAGCCGCAAAUAUAUGAUUCUUCGAAUUUCUUGGUUGACUUUAUAUCAUAAUGAUUAGUAAUUAUGUCAAUAUUCUUUCUAGGCAAUCCCCCUAGUUUAAAGAAACACAUUUUAACACAUACGACCUAAAAAUAAACUUCACCGAAUAAAUUUAAAUUUCGACCGAUCGACGAAAUCUUGAGGCAUCGAUAAAAAAACAAUGUCUAUAAGAGCGUACAUUUAUAAAUGUGGCUCCAAAGAUCUUUCAAACAAAUUCUAUCCAAAGAUUUACUUUCGUGUGGUACAAAAAUUAGAGGCACGCAGUUACACAUGUUUCAGCUUGGAAUACUAAAAACGUUCAGCAGCUGUACCAAAAUUUUAGCAAAAACUAAUCAUAAUAAUGUGAUUAAACUAAAUAAAUUGCAUCAACAUUUUCGAGAGUUUUUUAAUCGCUUAACUAAGUAUUGUUUGUAGACGCGUCAAAAACGGAAAUUUAUAAAGAAAAUUACGCCUUAUUUUCAACUUUUUCUUUGAUAAUCCGUUAUUUUGGUUUUGUCGAUUACGUUCCGGUAAUAUAAGCAGUGUUUCGAUUGGCCGGGAGCUAAACCUUGUAUCGAUGGAGAACGAGUUAACGCAAAAAAUACUCGCUUCUGAAUCACAACCAAAUUGAACCAAUUUUGAAGCGGAUCGUUAAUGAUGAUGAAAAGUAAAUGACUUAUGACAACGACAAUCGAAAACGGUAGUGAACGUAUCGCAAUGAGCCAUGGCAAGCUGUGAACAAGCCACGAACGACGCUCGAUAAAUUCUGCUAUGUGUAUGAUGGGAUUGACAGGGAAUUACCAGUGCUUCGUCAGAAGAUACAAGAGCUUGGUUGGGAUUUUCCUAUGCUUUUUAAGAAGGCAGUUCUAACCGGCCAGCUGUGUCGAUGAGCCUUCAUUUUCACGGCUCAUUGAAUUAUGGCAUUCAGACAGCUAACGGAAAUAGAACGGUAUGCAUAAAGAAUUCCACUCGAGCAUGUUGGUUUGUAAAUGUGCGUAAGUAAAGGCAAAGGAAAUCAAAAUCACGUUCAUUCAUUUGUCAGAUGAGCAGAAAAAAAUUAGAGUACAUUCCUUACGCAUGUACACACACACACACACACAUACAGACAUGUACAUGAGAUAAUAAUGCCAACGAUUGCAAUAAAGCCAGGCGAAGCAAAACGCAGAGAGUUCUUCAAAUCUGAUUGCUGUUGCUAGGCAACUUAGUAAACUAUGUGCCUGUUGUUGAUGUUUUUAUAUAAAUCUGAGUGUAGUAAAUACAUAAUUUCAUGCGUAGUUCUUAUUUCGUUAGGCAGUGGGAAAAUGUCUUCAAUCACUUUUGUAAAGAUGAAAAGUACAUAAGUCAGUAGGAAAGCAUGAAGGGGAGAUUAAAAUCAAGUUUUCUUUGCUUUUUUUAAAUCAAAGCUAGUAAUUAGUUCAUGGCGUACUCAAAGGCGUAUUAGCAGCUUAAAAGAGUUUUUUUUUUUUAAUUCACCAUUUGAAGUAAAAAGAAAAUACUGCUGUAUAGGAUUGCUAUUUCUAAGAAACAUUCGAUAUCCCUUUUAAUUAGUCUAUUUUUUGUAUUUUCUAGGCUAUUAAUUGCCAAUUUUUUCAAGUCUUUAUAUGAACACGACAAAUUUCUAC